This 443-nucleotide ribosomal RNA is filed under the name uncultured bacterium. Its description in RNAcentral is "partial 16S ribosomal RNA". It matches the Rfam family "Bacterial small subunit ribosomal RNA", at positions 338 to 795 of the family's 1533-position model. The record is from RNAcentral.
CCUACGGGAGGCAGCAGUGGGGGAUAUUGGACAAUGGGGGAAACCCUGAUCCAGCGACGCCGCGUGAGUGAAGAAGUAUUUCGGUAUGUAAAGCUCUGUCAGCAGGGAAGAAAGAAAUGACGGUACCUGACCAAGAAGCCCCGGCUAACUACGUGCCAGCAGCAGCGGUAAUACGGAGGGGGCAAGCGUUAUCCGGAAUUACUGGGUGUAAAGGGAGCGUAGACGGUUAAGUAAGUCUGGAGGGAAAGGCCGGGGCCCAACCCCGGGACUGCGCUGGAAACUAUUGAACUUGAGUGCAGGAGAGGUAAGCGGAAUGCCUAGUGUAGCGGUGAAAUGCGUAGAUAUUAGGAGGAACACCAGUGGCGAAGGCGGCUUACUGGACUGUAACUGACGUUGAGGCUCGAAAGCGUGGGGAGCAAACAGGAUUAGAUACCCCAGUAGUC